This 729-nucleotide ribosomal RNA is filed under the name Triticum aestivum (bread wheat). RNAcentral's name for it is "partial small subunit ribosomal RNA". The record is from RNAcentral. Lineage: Eukaryota; Viridiplantae; Streptophyta; Magnoliopsida; Poales; Poaceae.
AAAUUAUUAUAUGAUAUAUCGGGUGUAGAACUAGGCCAACACUUCUAUUGGCAAAUAGGAGGUUUCCAUAUUCAUGCCCAAGUACUCAUCACUUCUUGGGUCGUAAUUACUAUCUUGCUAGGUUCAGUUGUCAUAGCUGUUCGGAAUCCACAAACCAUCCCGAUCGAAAGUCAAUUUUUUUAAUAUGUCCUUGAGUUUAUUCGAGACUUGACCAAAACUCAGAUUGGAAAAGAAUAUGGUCCCUUGGUUCCCUUUAUUGGAACAAUGUUCCUUUUUAUUUUUGUUUCGAAUUGGUCGGGUGCUCUUUUACCUUGGAAAAUAGAGUUACCCUAUGGGGAAUUAGCAGCGCUCGCGAAUGAUAUAAAUACUACUAUUGCUUUAGCUUUACUCACGUCAGCAACAUAUUUUUAUGCUGGUCCUAGCAAAAAAAGAUUGAGCUAUUUCGAGCAAUAUAUUAAACCAACUCCAAUCCUUUUACGAAUUAACAUGCUAGAAGAUUUCACAAAACCAUUAUCGCUUAGCUUUCAACUUUUCGGGAAUAUAUUGGCGGAUGAAUUAGUCGUUGUUGUUCUUGUUUCUUUAGUCCCCUUAGUAAUCCCUAUGCCGGUCAUGUUUCUUGGAUUAUUUACAAGUGGUAUUCAAGCUCUUAUUUUUGUAACAUUAGUCACAACCUAUAUAUAUAUAGGUGAAUUCAUGGAGGGACUAGUUUUGGAAAUAGUAUUUUUUUGA